This 2902-nucleotide ribosomal RNA is filed under the name Salmonella enterica subsp. enterica serovar Enteritidis. Its description in RNAcentral is "bacterial LSU rRNA". It matches the Rfam family "Bacterial large subunit ribosomal RNA". The record is from RNAcentral. Lineage: Bacteria; Pseudomonadati; Pseudomonadota; Gammaproteobacteria; Enterobacterales; Enterobacteriaceae.
UUAAGCGACUAAGCGUACACGGUGGAUGCCCUGGCAGUCAGAGGCGAUGAAGGGCGUGCUAAUCUGCGAUAAGCGCCGGUAAGGUGAUAUGAACCGUUAUAACCGGCGAUACCCGAAUGGGGAAACCCAGUGUGACUCGUCACACUAUCAUUAACUGAAUCCAUAGGUUAAUGAGGCGAACCGGGGGAACUGAAACAUCUAAGUACCCCGAGGAAAAGAAAUCAACCGAGAUUCCCCCAGUAGCGGCGAGCGAACGGGGAGGAGCCCAGAGCCUGAAUCAGCAUGUGUGUUAGUGGAAGCGUCUGGAAAGGCGCGCGAUACAGGGUGACAGCCCCGUACACAAAAGCGCAUGUGCUGUGAGCUCGAUGAGUAGGGCGGGACACGUGGUAUCCUGUCUGAAUAUGGGGGGACCAUCCUCCAAGGCUAAAUACUCCUGACUGACCGAUAGUGAACCAGUACCGUGAGGGAAAGGCGAAAAGAACCCCGGCGAGGGGAGUGAAAAAGAACCUGAAACCGUGUACGUACAAGCAGUGGGAGCACCCUUUGGGUGUGACUGCGUACCUUUUGUAUAAUGGGUCAGCGACUUAUAUUCUGUAGCAAGGUUAACCGAAUAGGGGAGCCGGAGGGAAACCGAGUCUUAAUUGGGCGUUAAGUUGCAGGGUAUAGACCCGAAACCCGGUGAUCUAGCCAUGGGCAGGUUGAAGGUUGGGUAACACUAACUGGAGGACCGAACCGACUAAUGUUGAAAAAUUAGCGGAUGACCUGUGGCUGGGGGUGAAAGGCCAAUCAAACCGGGAGAUAGCUGGUUCUCCCCGAAAGCUAUUUAGGUAGCGCCUCGUGAAUUCAUCUCCGGGGGUAGAGCACUGUUUCGGCUAGGGGGCCAUCCCGGCUUACCAACCCGAUGCAAACUGCGAAUACCGGAGAAUGUUAUCACGGGAGACACACGGCGGGUGCUAACGUCCGUCGUGAAGAGGGAAACAACCCAGACCGCCAGCUAAGGUCCCAAAGUCAUGGUUAAGUGGGAAACGAUGUGGGAAGGCCCAGACAGCCAGGAUGUUGGCUUAGAAGCAGCCAUCAUUUAAAGAAAGCGUAAUAGCUCACUGGUCGAGUCGGCCUGCGCGGAAGAUGUAACGGGGCUAAACCAUGCACCGAAGCUGCGGCAGCGACACUGUGUGUUGUUGGGUAGGGGAGCGUUCUGUAAGCCUGUGAAGGUGUGUCGUGAGGCAUGCUGGAGGUAUCAGAAGUGCGAAUGCUGACAUAAGUAACGAUAAAGCGGGUGAAAAGCCCGCUCGCCGGAAGACCAAGGGUUCCUGUCCAACGUUAAUCGGGGCAGGGUGAGUCGACCCCUAAGGCGAGGCCGAAAGGCGUAGUCGAUGGGAAACGGGUUAAUAUUCCCGUACUUGGUGUUACUGCGAAGGGGGGACGGAGAAGGCUAUGUUGGCCGGGCGACGGUUGUCCCGGUUUAAGCGUGUAGGUGUGUGUUCCAGGUAAAUCCGGUUCACUUUAACACUGAGGCGUGACGACGAGGCACUACGGUGCUGAAGCAACAAAUGCCCUGCUUCCAGGAAAAGCCUCUAAGCAUCAGGUAACAUCAAAUCGUACCCCAAACCGACACAGGUGGUCAGGUAGAGAAUACCAAGGCGCUUGAGAGAACUCGGGUGAAGGAACUAGGCAAAAUGGUGCCGUAACUUCGGGAGAAGGCACGCUGACACGUAGGUGAAGUGAUUUACUCAUGGAGCUGAAGUCAGUCGAAGAUACCAGCUGGCUGCAACUGUUUAUUAAAAACACAGCACUGUGCAAACACGAAAGUGGACGUAUACGGUGUGACGCCUGCCCGGUGCCGGAAGGUUAAUUGAUGGGGUCAGCGCAAGCGAAGCUCCUGAUCGAAGCCCCGGUAAACGGCGGCCGUAACUAUAACGGUCCUAAGGUAGCGAAAUUCCUUGUCGGGUAAGUUCCGACCUGCACGAAUGGCGUAAUGAUGGCCAGGCUGUCUCCACCCGAGACUCAGUGAAAUUGAACUCGCUGUGAAGAUGCAGUGUACCCGCGGCAAGACGGAAAGACCCCGUGAACCUUUACUAUAGCUUGACACUGAACAUUGAGCCUUGAUGUGUAGGAUAGGUGGGAGGCUUUGAAGUGUGGACGCCAGUCUGCAUGGAGCCGACCUUGAAAUACCACCCUUUAAUGUUUGAUGUUCUAACGUGGACCCGUUACCCGGGUUGCGGACAGUGUCUGGUGGGUAGUUUGACUGGGGCGGUCUCCUCCUAAAGAGUAACGGAGGAGCACGAAGGUUGGCUAAUCCUGGUCGGACAUCAGGAGGUUAGUGCAAUGGCAUAAGCCAGCUUGACUGCGAGCGUGACGGCGCGAGCAGGUGCGAAAGCAGGUCAUAGUGAUCCGGUGGUUCUGAAUGGAAGGGCCAUCGCUCAACGGAUAAAAGGUACUCCGGGGAUAACAGGCUGAUACCGCCCAAGAGUUCAUAUCGACGGCGGUGUUUGGCACCUCGAUGUCGGCUCAUCACAUCCUGGGGCUGAAGUAGGUCCCAAGGGUAUGGCUGUUCGCCAUUUAAAGUGGUACGCGAGCUGGGUUUAGAACGUCGUGAGACAGUUCGGUCCCUAUCUGCCGUGGGCGCUGGAGAACUGAGGGGGGCUGCUCCUAGUACGAGAGGACCGGAGUGGACGCAUCACUGGUGUUCGGGUUGUCAUGCCAAUGGCACUGCCCGGUAGCUAAAUGCGGAAGAGAUAAGUGCUGAAAGCAUCUAAGCACGAAACUUGCCCCGAGAUGAGUUCUCCCUGAGACUUAAAGUCUCCUGAAGGAACGUUGAAGACGACGACGUUGAUAGGCCGGGUGUGUAAGCGCAGCGAUGCGUUGAGCUAACCGGUACUAAUGAACCGUGAGGCUUAACCUU